GGAAAUUCUGCAGAGUAUGCUGUGGCAGAGAUAGUACUAGUGGUGGCUACUACUCCUGAUGGAAGUAUUACUGGAUUGGCCUUAACUGUGAUGACAUGGUUGGUGAAGGGUGUUCUGUAUUCUCUAUAUUCUGAAAGAGAAAUGACUCAGAUGAAAGGAAAGAAGAAGUGAUACCAAGUUGCAACAAUGGAUGUGAUAGCACCGAAGGAGGCAAUUCCCUGACCCAAGUCUGCCACUCUCGUCUUCUAGCUCCUCACUCCAUUUUGACCAUGAUGUGCACAUCCAUACCCAUUUAUAUGGGUAUGACGACCUUGUUUCUGCAGUCCAAGCUCUGUCAAUACUCAGGACUGAGUCUUACACCAUCAGCAUUCCUGGUUCUCAGGACUCACUGA
Long non-coding RNA from Mustela putorius furo (domestic ferret), 392 nucleotides. NCBI's taxonomy places the organism in Eukaryota, Metazoa, Chordata, Mammalia, Carnivora, Mustelidae. The record is from Ensembl.